GACAGAGGUGCCAAGCGUUAGGCGGAAUCACUGGGCUUAAAGCGUGUGUGAGGCGGAUCGUUAAGUACCUUGUGAAAUCCCACGGCUCAACCGUGGAACUGCUGGGUAUACUGGCGGUCUUGAGCCACCUAGGGGCAACUGGAACAAGCGGUGGAGCGGUGAAAUGCGUAGAGAUCGGGAGGAACACCAGUGGCGAAGGCGGCUACCUGGACCAGCACUGACACUGAGGCACGAAAGCGUGGGGAGCAAACAGG
This 254-nucleotide ribosomal RNA is filed under the name uncultured bacterium. Its description in RNAcentral is "partial 16S ribosomal RNA". It matches the Rfam family "Bacterial small subunit ribosomal RNA", at positions 524 to 776 of the family's 1533-position model. The record is from RNAcentral.